GACGAACGCUGGCGGCGUGCCUAAUACAUGCAAGUAGAACGCUGAAGGAGGAGCUUGCUUCUCCGGAUGAGUUGCGAACGGGUGAGUAACGCGUAGGUAACCUGCCUGGUAGCGGGGGAUAACUAUUGGAAACGAUAGCUAAUACCGCAUAACAGUAGAUAUCGCAUGAUAUCUGCUUGAAAGGUGCAAUUGCAUCACUACCAGAUGGACCUGCGUUGUAUUAGCUAGUUGGUGAGGUAACGGCUCACCAAGGCGACGAUACAUAGCCGACCUGAGAGGGUGAUCGGCCACACUGGGACUGAGACACGGCCCAGACUCCUACGGGAGGCAGCAGUAGGGAAUCUUCGGCAAUGGACGGAAGUCUGACCGAGCAACGCCGCGGGAGUGAAGAAGGUUUUCGGAUCGUAAAGCUCUGUUGUAAGAGAAGAACGAGUGUGAGAGUGGAAAGUUCACACUGUGACGGUAUCUUACCAGAAAGGGACGGCUAACUACGUG
RNAcentral lists this ribosomal RNA (495 nucleotides) under uncultured bacterium. RNAcentral describes it as "partial 16S ribosomal RNA". It matches the Rfam family "Bacterial small subunit ribosomal RNA", at positions 28 to 507 of the family's 1533-position model. The record is from RNAcentral.